Molecule: unclassified non-coding RNA, 364 nt
Filed under: uncultured Chloroflexota bacterium
Lineage: Bacteria; Bacillati; Chloroflexota
Description: uncultured Chloroflexi bacterium contains 16S-23S intergenic spacer region
Source: RNAcentral
UCCGGGUUAGUCCCGGCGGUCCGACCAGACUUCGUAACUGGCCGCGGGGGUUGCGCUCGUUGCGGGACUUAACCCAACACCUCACGGCACGAGCUGACGACAGCCGUGCAGCACCUGUGCACGCUCCCUCGCGGGUCCCUCGGCUUUCACCUCAGUACCACGUGCAUGUCAAGCCUGGGUAAGGUUCUUCGCGUUGCAUCGAAUUAAACCACACGCUCCGCUGCUUGUGCGGGCCCCCGUCAAUUCCUUUGAGUUUUAGCCUUGCGGCCGUAGUCCCCAGGCGGGGCACUUAUUGCGUUAGCUGCGGCACCGGGGGGGUCGAUACCCCCGACACCUAGUGCCCAUCGUUUACGGCGUGGACUAC